Molecule: transfer RNA, 73 nt
Filed under: Lake Baikal phage Baikal-20-5m-C28
Lineage: Duplodnaviria; Heunggongvirae; Uroviricota; Caudoviricetes; Pantevenvirales; Kyanoviridae
Rfam family: tRNA
About the family: Transfer RNA (tRNA) molecules are approximately 80 nucleotides in length. Their secondary structure includes four short double-helical elements and three loops (D, anti-codon, and T loops). Further hydrogen bonds mediate the characteristic L-shaped molecular structure. tRNAs have two regions of fundamental functional importance: the anti-codon, which is responsible for specific mRNA codon recognition, and the 3' end, to which the tRNAs corresponding amino acid is attached (by aminoacyl-tRNA synthetases). tRNAs cope with the degeneracy of the genetic code in two manners: having more than one tRNA (with a specific anti-codon) for a particular amino acid; and 'wobble' base-pairing, i.e. permitting non-standard base-pairing at the 3rd anti-codon position.
Source: Rfam by way of RNAcentral
GCCCGGUUAGCUCAUUUGGUAGAGCAACGCACUUGUAAUGCGUAGGUGGUCAGUUCGAAUCCGACACCGGGCA